CGGGACGCUGCACCAGUGAGGAAUAUUGCACAAUGGGGGGAACCCUGAUGCAGCAACGCCGCGUGGAGGAUGACGCAUUUCGGUGUGUAAACUCCUUUUAUAUGUCAAGAAAAUGACGGUAGCAUAUGAAUAAGCACCGGCUAACUCCGUGCCAGCAGCCGCGGUAAUACGGAGGGUGCAAGCGUUACUCGGAAUCACUGGGCGUAAAGGACGCGUAGGCGGGUUGGAAAGUCAGGUGUGAAAUCCUACAGCUUAACUGUAGAACUGCACUUGAAACUUCUAAUCUAGAGUAUGGGAGGGGGAGAUGGAAUUAGUGGUGUAGGGGUAAAAUCCGUAGAUAUCACUAGGAAUACCUAAAGCGAAGGCGAUCUCCUGGAACAUUACUGACGCUAAGGCGUGAAAGCGUGGGGAGCAAACAGGAUUAGAUACCCCGGUUGUC
This 439-nucleotide ribosomal RNA is filed under the name uncultured bacterium. RNAcentral describes it as "partial 16S ribosomal RNA". It matches the Rfam family "Bacterial small subunit ribosomal RNA", at positions 342 to 795 of the family's 1533-position model. The record is from RNAcentral.